UACAGGGGGGGCAAGCGUUGUUCGGAAUUACUGGGCGUAAAGGGCUCGUAGGCGGCCAACUAAGUCCGACGUGAAAUCCCAAAGCUUAACUUUGGAACUGCGUCGGAUACUGGAUGGCUUGAAUUCGGGAGAGGGAUGCAGAAUUCCAGGUGUAGCGGUGAAAUGCGUAGAUAUCUGGAGGAAUACCGGUGGCGAAGGCAGCAUCCUGGACCGACAUUGACGCUGAGGAGCAAAAGCUAGGGGAGCAAACGGG
Molecule: ribosomal RNA, 253 nt
Filed under: uncultured bacterium
Lineage: Bacteria
Description: partial 16S ribosomal RNA
Rfam family: Bacterial small subunit ribosomal RNA
Source: RNAcentral